CACGUAGGGUGCGAGCGUUGUCCGGAAUUAUUGGGCGUAAAGAGCUCGUAGGCGGCCUGCUAAGUCGAACGUGAAAUCCCCGAGCUCAACUCGGGAACUGCGUCCGAUACUGACAGGCUUGAAUCCGGGAGAGGGAUGCGGAAUUCCAGGUGUAGCGGUGAAAUGCGUAGAUAUCUGGAGGAACACCGGUGGCGAAGGCGGCAUCCUGGACCGGCAUUGACGCUGAGGCGCGAAAGCUAGGGGAGCAAACGGG
This 253-nucleotide ribosomal RNA is filed under the name uncultured bacterium. RNAcentral's name for it is "partial 16S ribosomal RNA". It matches the Rfam family "Bacterial small subunit ribosomal RNA", at positions 524 to 776 of the family's 1533-position model. The record is from RNAcentral.